GAAAUCUAUCACUGCUUUUUAGGAUAAGCUCGACUUUUGUUCAAAUAAAAAUGCAAAAGGAAAGUGUAUCCUAAAAGGCAAUGACAGUUUAAUGUGUUU
RNAcentral lists this microRNA precursor (99 nucleotides) under Pan troglodytes (chimpanzee). RNAcentral's name for it is "microRNA ptr-mir-651 precursor". Its record names the gene ptr-mir-651. The stretch from base 4 to 89 matches the Rfam family "mir-651 microRNA precursor family". Lineage: Eukaryota; Metazoa; Chordata; Mammalia; Primates; Hominidae. The record is from miRBase by way of RNAcentral.